GGCUGAGCCAGGCCCAUAAAUCACUCGGGACAGGAGAAACCUGUGUGCGGACUCGGAAACAGCAUCUGGCAGGAGAAAUGAAUGCAGCAGAAGGGAUGCGGGGGCGUUUCGAAGACGGGGCCCUCCAACGCGUGCAGCUUCUGUUUCUGCCACUGACACUCAGCCCGAGCUACGGGGAGAGGUACGUGGGAGAGGCGUUUCAGGUAACAGUGCUCGCAGAACUUCGAGCCGCCUCGGGGGACCGCAGCCCAAUCGACACCGCGUGGGGCCAGAGAACCGCUCCGCAGAGCCCGGGCGGCUCACAGACCUUUGAGAGACAAAUGGGCGUGGCAGUUUGAAGCCACUACGUUUUGGGGUGGCGUGUGACACCGCAGCAGGGAACCGAAACCUAAAGGUGAGCGGAAGUCGAUGGACCGGCAGGAUCCGGACCCAGACCCCCGCGACUCCCAGAUCCGGCUUCUGUCCACCAAGCUGCGCAACAACAAACGUCUCUGAGUGCCGCUGCCCUGGUGUAAUUCCCCUGCCCGACUGCCUCUCUGUCUCCCAUGCUCCUGCCGGCUCUGACUUUGUCAGCCACCUCCUGGGCCUGACCCUUCCCCGGGGCCCCGGCUCGGCUGCCGCCCACGAAACCCGAAUGGCGCACGAGGAUCUCCGUCCAUCUUGCCAUCGUGGCUGCGUCUUUUGUCCCGGUACCCGCGUCCGCGCUGGCCCGGGGGGAGGGCUUCCUCCCUCCCAGCAGCCCCGGGGAGCAGGCCGCUGCCCUACUAGCUCUCCCCUGCACUCAGACGUGACUCACUGACCUUUACGAGCCCGAGACUUGAUGGGCCUGGUGUUUUAUUAACCUAAUAAAAAGGCAGUCUGGUUCA
Leopardus geoffroyi (Geoffroy's cat) is the source of this 866-nucleotide long non-coding RNA. RefSeq lists it as uncharacterized. NCBI's taxonomy places the organism in Eukaryota, Metazoa, Chordata, Mammalia, Carnivora, Felidae. The record is from RefSeq and is a predicted model, not a curated record. The transcript has 2 exons.